GUGGAAGGUGGUGUUGGUAGUGGAGGGUAAUGGUGGUAGUGUGUGGCGUUGGUGGUGGUGGUGGUGGUGCGUGUUGUUGAUGUUGGUAGUGGAGGGUAGUGGUGGAAGAUAGUGGUAGUGUGUGGUGGUGGUGGAAGGUGGUGUUGGUAGUGGAGGGUAAUGGUGGUGGUGGUGGUGGUGGUUUCUGAGGUACUAUAUAUGUUACCAGGAACUAUUUUGCUGAGAGCCGGGUGAAGUUUGCCGAUAGAAGAUGAAAAAUUGAUUGUGCCAAAAAUCCAGAAAUCAUCAAAAAAAGGACUUAGGCAAUUUGUGUACUAGGCUGGAUUAAUAGUGGAAUGACUGAGAGAAAAGGUGGGAUGAGUGAAGAGUAGAGGUGGGGAGGAAGUUGAAUGAAGGAAAUUAACUCUAUGAAAGACGAGUAUACAUUGCGCCCAAUCUUAGGGAAGUGGACAAGGGCAUACUACUCUAUUCAGGGCCAUGGACAGUGCCAGGGAAGAAAUAUAGUGACUCCUUACCAAUGGCACUCUCCCUCUUAAAGUAUGUAAAGUUUUGUGUGUGUGUGUGUGUGUGUGUGUGUGUGUGUGUGUGUGUGUGUGUGUGUGUGUUUAUUCCUGGCCUCUAUCAUUUAAUGGAAUAGUAGUAAAAACGUCUCCAUCCUUUUCUCUUUUCAUUAUUCUUUUUAUUUCUUUUUCAUCAUUCUCUUUUCUAGUUCUGAUUUCUUUCCCAUAUUCCUCUCCUAUUCUAUGCCUAGUGCUUCUGAGUGCGGAUAUCUGUUACCUUCAUUAAUCACUACUUUCCAUUUUUAACAUAAUUGCAUUCCUUUAAUACCUCUGGCUAACAUCUUAACAACUAUAACUUUUGCCUUCCCAAACUGUAUUUUCGCCUACAUAUCCCUUCUCUUAUCUAACUUUUCAUAUGUUAUUCCUGGAGUAUUUUCUGUCUUAUUUGUUCCUCUUUUAAGAUCUCUCAUAAUGCACUUGCUCAUCUCACAUAUAUCUCAGCUAUUGCAUUCCUGUCUAAUACCUCACCUGUCCCUGUCAUAAUAUCUCUCAUGAAUGCGUUGCUCCUACUCCUUUUUCCUCUCCUUCACAUCCCUGACUUACUGCUUUCAAGAUCUCACGCUUAACUAAUUUUUGCUCUCUUUUCUAUUUCACACACAACAUGUUCCUCUUUAAAACUCCAUUCAUUACCACUACUUAAGUCUCCCUAAAGUCACAACACAUCACAACAUCUACUAACAAGCAAUCGUCACAAACUCACUAACCUUACGUGUCUUUUGUCGGCACUGCUCGGCCAGGGUGACACAAGGUACAGGUGUAACGAACCACCACCCGGGCCGAGGCAAGCAGGUAAACAGGAGUCACAACCACAUCUGUCCCAAUCUGACAUGCUGAGGAGAGUCUAUCAGGGUCUGUCUAAGGGUAGUCUGUGUUCCUCUUGUUGACUCAGAGCUGCAACCACAUCCUAGUUUGUGCUGGAUGGUCUGUCACUCACUUAACCUUUACUUCCAGUGCUAAUCUUAGUCUCUAUAUGUGGCUUGGUAACUUUGACAGGCCUCCAAGUCUAUGCCUUCACACACCUAAAGGCUGGGUCCUCUUAGGCAAUUAGCACCUCCAUAAAUAGCACUUCUUCCUAACUUAUGGCAGUGCUAAAGGAUGGUUCUUCAUAGCAUCUUAGUCAAUUUAGUACCUCCAUAAGUAGUGCUUCUCUCUAUAUGGCAGCGCUAAAGGCUUUGUAUUGGUUAGUUCAGCACGGCCAUAAAUAGCACUCCU
Long non-coding RNA from Eriocheir sinensis (Chinese mitten crab), 1772 nucleotides. RefSeq lists it as uncharacterized. NCBI's taxonomy places the organism in Eukaryota, Metazoa, Arthropoda, Malacostraca, Decapoda, Varunidae. The transcript is spliced from 2 exons. The record is from RefSeq and is a predicted model, not a curated record.